RNAcentral lists this unclassified non-coding RNA (372 nucleotides) under uncultured fungus. RNAcentral describes it as "partial contains 5.8S ribosomal RNA and internal transcribed spacer 2". The stretch from base 1 to 133 matches the Rfam family "5.8S ribosomal RNA", at positions 22 to 154 of the family's 154-position model. Lineage: Eukaryota; Fungi. The record is from RNAcentral.
UGGCUCUCGCAUCGAUGAAGAACGCAGCGAAAUGCGAUAAGUAAUGUGAAUUGCAGAAUUCAGUGAAUCAUCGAAUCUUUGAACGCACCUUGCGCCCUCUGGUAUUCCGGAGGGCAUGCCUGUUUGAGUGUCUUGAUAUCAUCAACCCCUCGGGUUCGCGCCCGAAGCGGGUUGGAGUUGGGGGCUUGCUGCCGUGAGGCGGCUCCCCUUAAAAUCAUCGGUUCGGCCCGCACUGCGGCUGGCACCUUUGGCGUUGUAUCUCCCUCGCCUUUGAUCGGUCCUGCUCGCUUCCGCGCCUCACCUCGACUUGCCCUUUGGGUGGCGGUCACUUCUUGACAAUCUGGCCUCAAAUCAGGUAGGACUACCCGCUGA